AGCCGCAGACCACAGGUGCUUGCACUUGGUUUCCACUUUUCCCUCAGUUGUAGACGUCCUCAUUUGCAAGGCCCUGGAUCAACGUUCUGCCUCGCUGAGACCAUUAAGGAAAAGUAGGCACCUGGACAGUGAGAAACAGCGUCCUUCCAACACGAGAACCUCGGGUCAUCUCCUUUAUGUUGCUUUGAUCUUCUGCAAGGUUCCACAGGGAUUUUCCUUUAGAGCUCAGAAUCCAGUGAUCAGUGAUCCUUGGGAAGGAUGCCGAGACAAGCAGCAGCACCGUGAUGCUUCAUCAGCACAGAGUACAGCAAAAGCAUUGCCUGGACAUGGCCGCUUUGAAAGCCUGACAAGAAGCUAG
RNAcentral lists this long non-coding RNA (358 nucleotides) under Rattus norvegicus (Norway rat). RNAcentral's name for it is "long non-coding RNA NONRATT033813". The record is from RNAcentral. Lineage: Eukaryota; Metazoa; Chordata; Mammalia; Rodentia; Muridae.